This 142-nucleotide non-coding RNA is filed under the name Caballeronia calidae. Its description in RNAcentral is "Burkholderia calidae TPP sequence". It matches the Rfam family "TPP riboswitch aptamer (THI element)". From Rfam's summary of the family: Vitamin B(1) in its active form thiamin pyrophosphate (TPP) is an essential coenzyme that is synthesised by coupling of pyrimidine and thiazole moieties in bacteria. The record is from RNAcentral. Lineage: Bacteria; Pseudomonadati; Pseudomonadota; Betaproteobacteria; Burkholderiales; Burkholderiaceae.
CUGCUAACGCGGGGGUCCUGCGUUGCACAUCGCGAUCCAAUCGGCUUCAUCGAACUGGAUCGCUUCGUGUGGCGUGGGUGAGAAAUACCCUUUGAACCUGAUCUGGAUAAUGCCAGCGCAGGGAAGCGUUCGGGUUCCACGG